This 377-nucleotide ribosomal RNA is filed under the name uncultured bacterium. RNAcentral's name for it is "bacterial SSU rRNA". It matches the Rfam family "Bacterial small subunit ribosomal RNA", at positions 523 to 898 of the family's 1533-position model. The record is from RNAcentral.
AUACGUAGGGGGCAAGCGUUGUCCGGAAUUACUGGGCGUAAAGGGAGCGUAGGCGGUCUUUUAAGUUAGAUGUGAAAUACCCGGGCUCAACUUGGGAGGUGCAUCUAAAACUGGAGGACUUGAGUGCAGGAGAGGAAAGUGGAAUUCCUAGUGUAGCGGUGAAAUGCGUAGAUAUUAGGAGGAACACCAGUGGCGAAGGCGACUUUCUGGACUGUAACUGACGCUGAGGCUCGAAAGCGUGGGGAGCAAACAGGAUUAGAUACCCUGGUAGUCCACGCUGUAAACGAUGAAUACUAGGUGUAGGGGGUAUCAACUCCCCCUGUGCCGCAGCUAACGCAAUAAGUAUUCCGCCUGGGGAGUACGGCCGCAAGGUUGAA